UGACCUUGAGCUGCGGCGGGCUGCGGGCUGGCUGCUGCGCAUGCGUGGCCCGGGGAUUGGGGGGGGGGGUCACGUGAGCGCGCUCGUGCAGCCUCACUGAGGGAAGGGGAGGUGGCGCCAUCUUGGCGCUGGGGGGGUGGUUGAGGGUCGGCGGCAGCGCCAAGGCGGGGGUAACAAGGAGCGCCUAACAAAAUAGGGAGGCUUGGAGGCUGUAGCUGAGGGAAUAAGGAGACCUGAAAGAAAAUAGAGUGGUAGCCUCGUGCUAGCAGAAGCAAGGGAGAUAAGGGAUGUGAAGGGUAAAAAGCAAGGAGAAAAACAUCUGCGGGAAGGCUCCAGCCUGACCUGCUGAAACCAGGAUGGAGUCCUGUAUCCUUAAAACAAAUUAUAAGGUUGUUCUGCAGCAGGAACUACGUUAACAAAAAUACUCUUGUUUAUGGCAAAAACAACUGUAAGCAAGCAACAGACAUCAAUGCUUCCAAAGCUGUUUGUGUGGUCAUUUGAGAUCAAAGGAGAGAAAAUAAAAUUUAAAAAAAAAUCAGUAAAACAAGUAGCAAACCGUUGCCUAUGGUGAAGAAAUAGACAUAGAGUGGGACUCUAAAAAAGAUUUUGAGCUGUGCUGCUGCGAUAGCCUCAAAAGACGGCAUGAGCUGCAAAGCUGGAUAGCAGGGGGAAGAGAACAUGGAUAAUGCAUGAACCGGUGAUGAGCUGAGAUUUAUAAAAGCCUUCCAUACUGUCAGAGGGGGCUGGAGCCUCCUGGAGCAAUGCCGGACUGGCCCGCCUGGUGGCAAACUGCUUUCACUGGAGGCACCUCUCUGCUUAGCAGGUUUGGGAACAACAAAUGUGCUCACUGGGAGUGCAGGCUGUAAUCUCAUCUCUCUGUGUUUGGAGGUUUUCAGGGGCCCGCUCGUCCCUCCGGAAUAGCAAUGUGCCCUCCAUCAGGUACUGACCUGGGCACCGUCGUAACUAAUGCAGAGUUGGUGCUGCAGAGAUCGUGCUCGUGUCUCAAACUUCACAGAGUUUCUGGGGGGUUCUUCAUCUUCCCCCUGUAGUCCUGGAACUGCGGAAAUCAAUAUUCUGCCAUCUGUAAAUCCUUUGUUCCCCUUUUCACCAGGGCUUUAUCAGCUUUGUAAGUGAAGGGGGGGGGGAAGAGGGCGGUGAGAGAGCCAUUGUCCCUUCUCUCGGGAAUGAUCUGGAAGUGCUAUGCAAAUCUUCAUUUGAAGACCCUGGGAACUGGGGGAGGGCUUUAGCUGCAAGCUCAGUAGGAGGGGAGCUCUGCAUCCCUGCUCACACACUUCUGCCUAGUGCAAGUAGCAGGGAAGAGUUUUUUUGAACUGCCAGAAGAGACGUUUUGCGCUUUGUGCGCUUCUGUGAGGUUUUGCACUCCUGUCUCCUGCUUUGUGCUUUUUUUUCUGCCUGCUUCUGCUAAAUUUUUGCAUAAGAAUUGGGUAGGGGAGAGAUCCAGGGGCUGCAAGUGGUAAUUACGAGAUCAGCGUGGUGCAGGGUGCACAGACACAGGCUCCCUUCUCGCACAUUGAUCUGGGUUUCCUGCCAGGCAGUGGGUGCAGCCCCAGUGGUGCUAGCCUAGGUGCCCUGUGAGCACAGCCCAGCUGCUGGCCUUAGCACAGAACGCAGACACGUUUUCAGUAAGCAAAUGGUUCGGCUGUUAAGGAGUAAGGGGGUAAAAUAGUUUGCACUUCUCAAAUUAUCACAUUGUAGCCACGUCUUAAAAAGCCCCCUCUUACUGGGGCAAAGACUCGGAGUCCAGUACCUGCUUUAUGAAACCCUGCAGUCUGCUCGGGCUUGGCUCGGAGAUGUGUGUCACCUGUUUUGUAUUAGGAGGGGUCACACUAACUGCCAGUUUCCUGGAAACUGUGUAGGGUCCUUCUUAGGCCUCAUGGAAAGGGAAAUGUCCUGGCUAGGUGGACACGUGGGUGAACAGGACAGCGGGGAGAGAGAGUAUGGAUUCAAAACUAGGCAUUUUGGUGUUUAUACUCUUUAUGCAUGUAAAGGCAGUCAGAGCAUUUUUUGAUUUCCUGACCAUUUUCCUGGCAGCAGUCCCGUUGUUUAUUUUUCAGUCUUUCGGGGGGGGGGUGGGGGGGGGGUUGUGUACCAACAAACUGUAAAAAAAAAAAAAAAAAAAAAAAAAAAAAACUUUUUUACUUUCUAGUAAUGACAGCUCUGGAGAAUAUCACGCUAUUCUCUGUAUCCCGGGCUGCUGAGAAGAUGCAGCCUUUUAAAAAUCUCACGUUUAGUUAAGGAAACAUAGGAGCACAUGCCAUAAGGCUCGAGUCUCUGCUACUUUCCACGUUGUAUCCAAAGCAAUGUAGAAAUACCAUUUCUGCAAGUACUCCGCUGCUCUAUAGAGGGAAAGUGCAUCACAGGCAUACCCUCAAGCACAACUGGGUCUAAACCUGCUCUCGUUUUUUCCGUGUGUAACUCUGGAGUGACUCGGCUGGCUCUGAUGAAAGUCCUCUGGAACUGUGCUAGCUGGAAACCAGCCUGUAUGUCCCCCCCACUCCCCUAAGUGCUCCGGCUACCUGUGCACACUCACGCGUCCGUGCAGAUGCUCUUCCAAGUGCACUCGUCUGCAUGUGGGCUGGGGUGCGAGUGCACGUUUCUCUCGCCCACCCUUCACAUAUGCACGCAAACACACGCACUCUCAAGUGCACACAUCCAGACCCCUUCUCUUGUAUACAUUUACGCACAUUUACAGACCUUUCUGAAAGCUCCUGUUUUCAGCAAGGAUUUAUUUAUAGGUCCUGCCUGGUUGUGAAUGUGAAAGGGAGAAAGCCCCUCAGAGGGUGCCUUUCAUGUGUAAAUCAGCCUCGGCUGAGAGCACUGGGGUCACUGAGAGGAGGAUUUCUCUCUUAAUUACUCAGAGAGAAAGCAGGCAGGGGACUUUCUCAAACUAAUAGGGUUGUUCUCUGCUGGGGAAAGCAGCUCGAGACACCCAAUUUCUCUUGCAUCAGACUUCGGGCUCUGAUUCACAGGCCUCUCCUGCCAGUAGCAGAGCCACUGUGUAUAUGGCAAUAGGAACAAGCAGAUCAGCUUCCAGAACAGUUUACUUACUGAAGAUGGCUCUGUUCAUUCUGAUAACUGGGUGUUCUUUGGAGGCCGGUGGAAGAGCUGAGCUAGUUUCCUUCAUUACAGUACCGCUGUUCUUAGUCUGUGCUGUGUACAGCUGGGACUCCAUCCGAGUACCUCAGCAUUCUUCCAGACAUACCCGAAAGCUUCCUGCUCUCUGCGAAGUAGAAAAAUGUUGUUGUAUAGAGAUUAAUGUAGUGAACAGGGCUCUGAACUUGGACUCAGAAACAACUCUGAGUUCGCGGUUCAGCCACAGAAUGCCUUUGUGGCCUUUGACGAGCCCAUGUGCUCACGUACCCUGCUCCAGCUGCGAGCGGCAUCAUCUCCUCUCCAGAAUGGGAGAACAGAAGUCAACGUGGAUUGUGAUGCUCUUUGUUUUAAAGCUGUGAGUGGAAACAUAAAUGUGGGUGAUGAGCAGUCUGAAGAGAUGGGUCUUUAUCUUGGAAUGCAAUACACGCAUGUGGAUUCCCCUGCUGAAGUACCGCUGCCACCAUUCAGCCUUCAACACAACACAAAAUCGAGCCUGAAAAUCUGCUGCAGAGGCAAGAACACCCCAGUCACGAGCCACUCAGUUCUCUGCAGGAGCCACAGGACCUACCUGUAGAACCACGCACAGCUGUGUAGAACCACACAAGAUGCAGCUGCCAGCAGCUGCAGAGAAGAGAUUCGCUGUGUUGUCCAGUGCACAGGUGCCCACAAGCAGGUGUAUGUUUUUUUAUCUUCAUUUUACUCAGUUAAAAUUACAUCCUCUCAUCUGUCUCUCCUUUCCACGGGGCUGUUUCUUUCCUGGAUAAGAAAUAAAUGCUUUGAGGGCUCUUGGUUCCCAGCCUAUGCACGAACAGCCCCCUGGAGCCCUGGUGCAGGAUUCUUGAAGCUGCCUUAGUUCAGCUUGCCCAGGAAGGCUGAGGUUUUAUUCCGGGAGCACCUGUUUGAGGAAGCUCGCAGCAGCGGUGGGGGCCAUCAGCAGAUGAGACCACCGAGGGACUUGUUUUGCUGUGACAUUGUGAUGGGAGGUGGAGACACCUCGAGGAGAAGGUCGAAACAGACGACAGCAGUUACAGCAGUGCCACCUUGGGCUUGAGGAAAUCCUGCCUCAGUUAUGGUGUAUGUACAAUCUCUGCCAUCUUUCCUAC
Molecule: long non-coding RNA, 4217 nt
Organism: Cygnus olor (mute swan)
Lineage: Eukaryota; Metazoa; Chordata; Aves; Anseriformes; Anatidae
Exons: 3
Source: RefSeq, a predicted model, not a curated record